CCUACGGGGGGCAGCAGUGGGGAAUAUUGCGCAAUGGGCGAAAGCCUGACGCAGCGACGCCGCGUGAGGGAUGAAGGUCUUCGGAUCGUAAACCUCUGUCAGCAGGGAAGAACGGUCACUGUGCUAAUCAGCAGUGAAUUGACGGUACCUGCAAAGGAAGCACCGGCUAACUCCGUGCCAGCAGCCGCGGUAAUACGGAGGGUGCGAGCGUUAAUCGGAAUUACUGGGCGUAAAGCGCUCGUAGGCGGUAUGUCAAGUCAGGGGUGAAAGCCCCGCGCUCAACGUGGGAACUGCCUUUGAAACUGGCAAACUGGAGUGUGUGAGAGGAUAGUGGAAUUCCAGGUGUAGGAGUGAAAUCCGUAGAUAUGUGGAGGAACAUCAGUGGCGAAGGCGACUAUCUGGCACAUAACUGACGCUGAGGAGCGAAAGCGUGGGUAGCAAACAGGAUUAGAUACCCUAGUAGUC
This 465-nucleotide ribosomal RNA is filed under the name uncultured bacterium. Its description in RNAcentral is "partial 16S ribosomal RNA". It matches the Rfam family "Bacterial small subunit ribosomal RNA", at positions 338 to 795 of the family's 1533-position model. The record is from RNAcentral.